Molecule: transfer RNA, 74 nt
Filed under: Thalassospira xianhensis
Lineage: Bacteria; Pseudomonadati; Pseudomonadota; Alphaproteobacteria; Rhodospirillales; Thalassospiraceae
Also listed under: 1 other name
Description: tRNA-Thr
Rfam family: tRNA
About the family: Transfer RNA (tRNA) molecules are approximately 80 nucleotides in length. Their secondary structure includes four short double-helical elements and three loops (D, anti-codon, and T loops).
Source: RNAcentral
GUUUGCAUAGCUCAGUCUGGUAGAGCAAUCGAUUCGUAAUCGAUCAGUCGUAGGUUCAAAUCCUAUUGCGGAUA